CCCACUGAUGUGACAGAGAUGAAAAACAAUUUUGUGCACUGGCAUUAGUAAUGGGUAUAGUAAAAAAAAAAAAAAAAGACAGCAUACAGUUCUUUUGGCACAAGCACCCCAUCCUACCCCUCCAAAAGUAUGCAGAUACUCUACAGAUUAUACCCUUCAUGAAGGGGAAGCCAGCAAUCUUGAUUUACCAAGAUGCACUGAUUCUGUGGGCACAAAUGGCAAGAUUGUGUGGCAUCUUCCCCUACCCUUGCUGAACAAAGGCUACUAUGUGUAGACAAUAUUACAUCAGCAUUGAUUUGUUAUAAAUUUUAUUUUAUUUUAAAACCUUUUUCUUUUGACACACAGUAUGCAAAAAAACAGGUUUCUCCAAGAAGCUGACAAAUGGCAAAACCCCUAGAGGCUCUAGAUCAGCUUGCUGCCAGGAUGAAGUGAUGCACAAGUAAAUAAAAAAAAAAGCAAUGUACAUUGUUGAGCACAGCAAUAUAUAUUUGACUGAUCAGUACAUACCACCAUAUCUUGUUCACCAAAGGGUCAAAACCUGGUUUAAAAGUUGAAUUAUACCUAACACAUAUUCAGUUUAUAAUAUACCCAAAAACAAUAUGGAGGAUACAGCUGAAGAUCUACAAAUGGAAAAACAUAUAUUAGUGUAAUACAGUUUAAAUAUAAUCUGUGUGCUAGCAGAGUUGCAUUUACUUCAUAAAAAUGCAUUAUUGCAUACAGAAAAAAAUAAUAAAACAAUAAAAAAUAGAUAGAGGUCCUACACUUUUUUCCUAUAUAUAGGACUUCCUUAGGGAUCAAAUAAUUAAAAACAGCAUCAAAAUAGUAAGCAGCAAAAUCAAAAAUCCGUAAGUCAAGGAAAAGCAACAUAAAACCCUCCCCCUUCUAUUUCUUCUAUUUAUAUGUUCCUUUCUUUUUUCUAAAUGGUCACUUAAGACUCCUUUGCAGCUGUAAGGCAUCUUUCCUAAUUGAAAUUCCUUAGUCUUUAAUGUUGUCAUUUCCGGUGUGCCGUGAGCAAUGGGCACUUGCCAAUGAUGCCUGCGUUUCAAAUGGUGGCCAUUUUGCGUUCCACCCAUAGUUCGCUCACGACUGCUCUAUUGCUUAGCCUUAUUCUCCACUGAACAUGGACACCAAAAACCUUUAUAAUGUCCUAUAGGUCUCAAAAUUCAUAGAACAUCAAAAGGCAAAAAACUUUACACAUAUAUUCUUAAGUACAUUGGUUUAGAGGAUCAUUUACAAGUACAUAUCUGUGUAUCAGAUAGCUAUACUCAUGUUUUUUAAAUGGAUUAUUUUCAAACCUGUCUCUUUUUUUAUGAAUUAGAUAUUUUCUGUUGUAAUAGAUCUGUUAUAUGGGCAAUUUAAACUAUUAGAUUCUUCACAGUUGAUCUGACAUGUGCUUGGAAACUUAAUUGGAAGAUGUGAAAACAUAUAUAAUCAAAGAAAUAUGUGAGAUAGCCCUUGUAAUGAACACCUUGCAUUUAGUAUGAUACGUUUGUUCGCACACUCCUGAAAUGCUAGAGGCUUGAGUGAUUAUAGCCCAUUCGCAUAGUACGCUAGUUUAUACUCUCCCAAAAUCCAAGCAGGUUGUGAGAAAAAUCAAGCAUUUCGCCGUUAGCAUACCCAAACAUCAGUCGAGACUUGAUGAAGGGUACAGCAGGAAUGUUUUAUUAUGGCCAGAUGGACCACUUUUAUACACAGACCCCCAGCAUGGGUUCUCCAGCAAAAGUAUGGUAAAACACGCCCAGGAGUCUCUGUGUCUGGGAGAUAAUUAAGUGUACUUUGCUUAAACUAAUUAUCUCCCAGGCACUAGAGGUACAAAAUAUAAAACAUAAAACACCCCAAAAUACACAUAACAUACAUAUGAACCCCAAAAAGUAUUAUAUCCUUUGGAUAGCCUGAAUCUGAGUGCCCAACAUAUCCAAAUAGCACUCAAAUCCCACGAACAAAGCCAAAUCGCCACCGGGGUAAAGUUUUGACUGACUGUACACGUGGCAUCUCCCCAAAUUAGUUCCAGAGAAACAGUGGUAGCGGUUGGUCAACUUCAGGAGUUUCAAAACGAACCAAAAGUUGAAUGGUUCCCCUGGCUCAUAGGUAGCGAUUGUUCGCCUGGUUCGUGUGAACAAUCCUACUGAACAGCGCUUGUCGUGAAAUGAAACAGGAGUUCAUACACAAUUACCAGUGUUCACAGGGUCGAGUGUCCGACUUAGAGUUCCAGACACUCAGUCACCAAGUACUGCUGUCUGCUUUAGGAAGACAAGAUUUCCAACGCUCGUGUUGUUCGGUUAUACGAAUAGCAGCCACACAGGAAGAGAACUUAAGUUUGUGGUUUUCUUGGAAGGUAAAUGAGCUAGGAGGUUGUUGGUGUUCGGUCAAUUAAUCUACCGAAUGCAGGGAAAAUUACUGGGACGAGGAAAUACAGGGUUUUGUCACAGUCCAAAUGGCAGUAUUGGCAUCUGAAUGGUUAUGAUAAAGAGAUACUUUUCUUUGUACCUCUCCACUGUAUUGUGAAUAAUAUAAAUAGAUUAAUAAUAGUAUUAAAAUAAGUAAAAAAAACAAGGAAAAAAGGGGGGGAAUUAUAAUAUACAAAAAUAAAAUAAAAAUGUGAAAUAAAUUGUGAAAAAAAAAUAUAUAUAUAGUAAACGAAAAAGAAAAAGAAAUGAAAAAUAAAUGGCAAAUUUUAAAAAAACUAAAAUUAAAUGGAAUAAAAACAGAGUAUAAAAAAUUAUUAAAUUAAAAUAAAUAAAAAUAAACAAGUGAAAAAGUAUCUGAAAAAUAUAUGUGAACUUCUAAGAGGCUAAAUCUACUUCGAAAAAAAUUAGAUAGAUCUGCAUUUUUGCCUUUGAGCUGUCCCACAUUUACAUUAUAAAAAAAACAUACAAUAUCAAUAUCAGCAUUGAGACCAAUUGAUGGAUCCAGAAGGUCUCACGCUGUGCUAGUUUUGCAUCUCUAACCCCUCUAUUUUUAUUUUUUUAUUUUAUUUUAGGAUUUUUU
RNAcentral lists this long non-coding RNA (2988 nucleotides) under Pelobates cultripes (western spadefoot toad). Lineage: Eukaryota; Metazoa; Chordata; Amphibia; Anura; Pelobatidae. The record is from RNAcentral.